AGAACGAACGCUGGCGGCAGGCUUAACACAUGCAAGUCGAGCACCCCGCAAGGGGAGCGGCAGACGGGUGAGUAACGCGUGGGAACAUACCCUCCGGUUCGGAAUAGCUCAGGGAAACUUGGAUUAAUACCGGAUACGGCCUAGCGGCGAAAGAUUCAUCGCCGGAGGAUUGGCCCGCGUUCGAUUAGCUAGUUGGUGAGGUAACGGCUCACCAAGGCGACGAUCGAUAGCUGGUCUGAGAGGAUGAUCAGCCACAUUGGGACUGAGACACGGCCCAAACUCCUACGGGAGGCAGCAGUGGGGAAUAUUGGACAAUGGGCGCAAGCCUGAUCCAGCCAUGCCGCGUGAGUGAUGACGGCCUUAGGGUUGUAAAGCUCUUUCGCUAGGGACGAUAAUGACGGUACCUAGACAAGAAGCCCCGGCUAACUUCGUGCCAGCAGCCGC
RNAcentral lists this ribosomal RNA (444 nucleotides) under uncultured bacterium. Its description in RNAcentral is "SSU rRNA". It matches the Rfam family "Bacterial small subunit ribosomal RNA", at positions 26 to 518 of the family's 1533-position model. The record is from RNAcentral.